UUAAGGUAAACUGGUAUGGUCUCCCAUUCCGAGGGAUACCCGGGGAUUCUUAGUGGGCGUGUGACUAAAAAAGAUAGGGAACGAUCCAUAUUCAAUAUAACCCGUAGUAAAAUUUCUAUAUUGGCUAGCUCGUGCAAUCAAUACCUCGUUACUCCCGUGCGCUACGAGCUGCUGUAGUUGCACGAAUCGAAUAUAGGCCCCAGGAGUGACUUUGUCGGGGAAUCAUACUGAAUUAUUUCCUUAGAAAGGACCAACGACGAU
Molecule: unclassified non-coding RNA, 261 nt
Filed under: Hevea brasiliensis (rubber tree)
Lineage: Eukaryota; Viridiplantae; Streptophyta; Magnoliopsida; Malpighiales; Euphorbiaceae
Source: RNAcentral